Esox lucius (northern pike) is the source of this 1490-nucleotide long non-coding RNA. Lineage: Eukaryota; Metazoa; Chordata; Actinopteri; Esociformes; Esocidae. The record is from Ensembl.
UGGUGCUUUUUAUGUUGUGUUGUGAGAUGGUUUGACCAGCUACAUUUAAAAGAGUAUGUCCUCUCACACUGAUUCACUCUAAGGUGAGCAAUGUGCCACAUUGUAAUGUACAUCAUGUUGAUAGGGUGGUGACAACUUGUCGACAUACAAAAAUAAAGAUAUUAUAUACAAAAGUUCUAAUCAACUUUUUCUUUGAAGUCCAAAGAUAUUGCAGUAUCUCCCCAUACCAGUGAAAAAACAUCUCAAAAUGAAUUCCUCCAUUCCAACAUGAACAAAAACAGCUGUUAUAAAGACACUCAAAUCCUACACACAUCUUUUUCAGUUUCAUAUAGAGAACAACUUUUAUUAACACACAAUGAUCAUUUUUGGAGAGAGAAAACAUUUUCUUACUCAAAGGUUAAAUGGCAUAUGACAAACAUCCUUCCAUUAUUUGGUCAGGACAAUGAAACGUCUUUACAAAUACAUCUGAGCUGGAAUUUCCUUGGCAUAAAGGCAGUCUUCUGCUGUUACAUAAUGUAAUAACAUGUAAUUACAGCAUUUCAUCUGAUAGAUGAUACAUGUGGCCCUUUGCAAGCUAAAGCUAAGGAUGGGGUCUGUACAUGGACAACAGCUUAUUGUGUUGCUCUGCAGAAUAUGUAGUUCAUGUGUUUGGCUAUACAAGACUGUAUUUGGUAUACUGAGUCAUAGCAUGAUAGAGCAGGAGGACCAGACCUCCAUAACCGUUGGUCAUUGCAUGAUAGAGCAGGAGGACCAGACCUCCAUAACCGUUGGUCAUAGCAUGAUAGAGCAGGAGGACCAGACCUCCAUAACCGUUGGUCAUAGCAUGAUAGAGCAGGAGGACCAGACCUCCAUAACCGUUGGUCAUAGCAUGAUAGAGCAGGAGGACCAGACCUCCAUAACCGUUGGUCAUAGCAUGAUAGAGCAGGAGGACCAGCCCUCCAUAACCGUUGGUCAUAGCAUGAUAGAGCAGGAGGACCAGCCCUCCAUAACUGUUACUCAUAGCAUGAUACAGCAGGAGGACUGGUCAUUUCUCUUCCUUACAUUUCUCUAGUCACAGCGUGGAUAAGCAGCAUUAUGGGAAAUUAGAAUUGAGUGGCAGUUCAUUUUAUGAAGCCACUAAUAAGCAAAUUAGAGAAACCAGUUUAAGUUUUUGCCCCCUCAUCUCUCUUAACUGUGGAAUUCAUAGCAUGGAUUGAUUGCUGGAAAUGUCAAUUUCCUGCAUCUCGUCUUGGGUUGAUUGUCGGCAGAGGUUUGCCAGAUGUCCAGACUGGAGGCAACAUGGAGUAGGAGAGUUGGAAAAGACACUACGUUUUGACGGAGUACAGCAAGGGUCUAAAAAACAACCCAGUAAUUUGUCACUCUGGUGAGGCAGUGUCAGAACAUCUGGACAACCUACAUAUUAUCCUGUCAUGGGAAAGAAGAGGAAAAAAAGCAAAUGAGCUCAGAUAUUUAUUGCACAUCAUAUUACUUUUAUAAGCAGUACAUCUUCA